Molecule: microRNA precursor, 82 nt
Filed under: Marmota monax (woodchuck)
Lineage: Eukaryota; Metazoa; Chordata; Mammalia; Rodentia; Sciuridae
Source: RNAcentral
UCUGGAUGCUUGAUUCUAAGUCCCAUUCCCAUGUCAGGUGAAGGAUGCCUGACAUGAGAAUGGGACUUAGGAUUAAGUGUCA